CAUGAAAUGAAUGGGAAUCAGCCUGUAAAAUGUGCUCUUAUUGUGAAAGUCUGCCUGCUGCUUCCUCAUAGGUGGAGUCCUGACUGGUUCCAGGAAACAGAUCACCUGUCUGAGCGUCCAGGAGUGGACUGGAAACUUUCUUCUUCUUCUUCAGCGCUUUGAAUAAAGUGUGAAGGUAGAAAGUGUGUGUGAGCUGCUGUGAGUUGAGCAUCAUGGAUGAGUGUGAGGACAGAGAGGAGGGAGUCCCUCCCUCUAAAAGCUCUCUGUGUGGGGAACAGGAGAACCAGAGCAAAGCUCAGAGGAAUCCACCUGGACCUGGACCUGGACCUGGACCUGCAUCCAGCUGUGUGUCCUUCAAGAGUGACCAGUCUAAAGGUCAUCCUAUCGAAUUUAAAGGAGAACCAGGUCCUGAAGUAGGAGGA
Molecule: long non-coding RNA, 422 nt
Organism: Acanthochromis polyacanthus (spiny chromis)
Lineage: Eukaryota; Metazoa; Chordata; Actinopteri; Pomacentridae
Exons: 3
Source: RefSeq, a predicted model, not a curated record